RNA transcript from Numida meleagris (helmeted guineafowl), 2764 nucleotides. It is a transcript of the gene named dehydrodolichyl diphosphate synthase subunit, with no coding region annotated. NCBI's taxonomy places the organism in Eukaryota, Metazoa, Chordata, Aves, Galliformes, Numididae. The transcript is spliced from 11 exons. The record is from RefSeq and is a predicted model, not a curated record.
GUCUGCGCAUGCGCGAGCGGGUGACGUAAGCGGAAGGGUGCGUCAGUGGCCUGAGGGGCUGAGGCGUUGCCGCCAGGACAGGUAGCGGGCGGUGGGCCGGGGCCGGUGUCGGUGCCGAGGCAAGGAAAAGGAGUUCUUGGUAAGACAUGUCGUGGAUCAGAGAAGGCGAGCUGACCAUCAUUGAGAGGUUUUGUGCCAACAUAAUUAAGGCAGGUCCAAUGCCCAAGCAUGUUGCCUUCAUCAUGGAUGGCAAUCGCCGUUAUGCCCAGAAGUGUCAUGUGGAGAGGCAGCAAGGACAUUCACAGGGUUUUGAUAAGCUGGCACAGACAUUGCGGUGGUGUUUAAAUCUGGGUAUUCGGGAGGUCACUGUUUAUGCCUUUAGUAUUGAGAACUUUAAACGAUCCAAGGAGGAGGUGGAUGGACUAAUGGAUCUGGCAAGACAGAAAUUUAGCCGCCUACUGGAAGAACAGGAGAACCUGAAGAAGCAUGGUGUGUGUAUCCGUGUCCUUGGGGAUUUGCCACUUCUACCCCUGGAUAUUCAGGAACUGAUUGCCCAAGCUGUGAUGGCAACCAGGAACUACAACAAGUGCUUUCUAAAUGUCUGCUUUGCAUACACAUCAAGACAUGAAAUCAGCAACGCUGUCAGGGAGAUGGCCUGGGGGGUGGAGCAAGGACUGCUUGAACCCAGUGACGUGUCUGAAUCAUUGCUUGAUAAGUGUCUGUACACCAGCAACUCCCCUGACCCAGACCUCCUGAUUCGAACCUCUGGAGAGGUCCGGUUGAGUGAUUUCCUGCUCUGGCAGACAUCCCAUUCAUGCCUGGUGUUUCAGUCAGUGCUGUGGCCAGAAUAUUCCUUUUGGAACUUGUGUGAGGCUAUCCUUCGGUUCCAGAUGAACUAUAAUGCAUUACAGAAGGCCAGAGACUCCUACAUGGAGGAAAGGAAGCAACAACAGAUGGAAAGGGAUCAGGCUUAUGUGACAAAGAAGCUGCAGCAGGAGGGUUUUGCAUCCCAUGGAGACUCUCGGCGCCGACGGACACUGUUGCAAAAAUGCACUGCCAUGCGGGAAGAGAGAAUCCAGGGCUUUCUACAGGCGCUAGAGCACAAGAGAGCGGACUUCUUUGAAAGAUUGUGUACAGUGUCUGCAUGACAUAAAUGCUGGGUGGUUCUUGGGAAGGCAAUGUUUAAUCAUGUUAGAAUAGCUGCUGCCCGGAGGAAUUCACUUGGUGUGGUUCUGCUGUGGGGAUGCAGGGCUGCCAUAGGAAAUGGAAUCCCCACUGGCACUAUCCAAGGGCAAGGACAGAGUACUGUGAACCUUUCUAGUUCUGUGAAUGCUGCUGAGGGAGGUAAUGCCGUCCUUCUAUCUUGCCUCCCUGUCCCUGUUGAUAGAGGGAGCAUAUGUGCACCUCACUGUCUCCACUGCUUGGUGUUUUGAUGACAAGGAAUUAACUAAAACAAGCCUCUUGUUCUGUUGGGCUCCUCAUGAAUUAGCUCAGGCAAACCAUUUCAGUCAUGUUACGUCAGCCUGGACUUGAAUUCUUUGUGACUUUGUAGUAGUGAAUCUUCUGGUGAGAUUUCUCUGUGUUCCCAUCCAAUUCCUUCCUCAACAGAGAGGAUUGUUCCUGGUAUGUAAGAGAGCCCUGUGCCAAGCACUGGUAGAGAUACUCCCUGCUGCCUGCUUCAGGAUAGCAUCUUGCCUUUUCCCCACCUUACUAUGCUGGUUUUGGUAUAUCUGAUCUUGGCUUCCAAAGAGGUAAAGCAAGAUGUUGUCAGCCUUGCCAUAAAGGAAAAAAAAGAUAUGUCAGAACUUGAUCAGGUCCUGCGAUCCUUUCCCAGCAGUGUGGGAUGGGGAAAAACCCAAAUGCAGAAGAUGAUGUUGAAACAGAGUGUGUUGAGGAAAGGGGGAAUAGUCCAAAGAGGCGAGGAAAAAACAAUUGGUUAGGAAUUAAUGUCAUGGCUUACAAAGGAAAAGUUAGCCAAAACCAGGUGAUAGGAACAGUAUGCCAAAUUCCUCUGAGAUGUCUCUAGAGCUAGGACUUCACAUCCAUUUCCAGGGAAUGAGGGUGGGAAUACAAGAAUACAGUAGCCAAAACCAACCUCUGACCGCAGCCAAAAUGGUCUAAGUGCUAUAUAGCUGACUUCAAUGGGAGUGGCCAGAGCAGCUGUGGAGUGCUACUUCUCAAGUCUCUGUCAGUGCAGAGGUGGACUAGCUAGUUUCCAGGAUUGAUUCUGUCUCUAAUUUUUCCUGGUUUCCGUCCCUACAGUGGAAAACAUAACAGGAAAUGUUUCUGAUGCAUAUACAGGUGCAGCAGUAUCAGCUAUUGCUGUUUUUCAAGUGUUCUUUUUUUUUUUACCUCCAGGUGAAAAUGAGAAAAUGCAAACUUAAAAGACUUUUACGUACUGCAAACUCAGCAUUUUGAAUGUGAUUGUGAAGAGGAUAACUACAUUGUCAAACAGUGAAUAAAGCUGGGGAAGAUUUGAUGGCUGCAUUCGUCGUACCAUCAUGUGAGCAACAUGCUGAUAUCCCAAGAUCUGGCUGAGUGAGACUCUGUGCACAUGCAUCCUCUCAUCUCUUCCUGGCAAAAGAAGAGAGAGGGGGAGUGAGAAGUUAUCCUUCCUAUUCCCGGAGCGCUCCGCAGGAGGCCGGCAGCAGUGGUGCCCCGAGCCGCGGAGCUGCGGCCCCGCGCCUGGUGCUGAAGGAACAGCUCCGCUGCGCGCCGCGGAGCGGGGCCGCCCGCAGAGGCCCGAGGGCUCGGGCGCCCAGUG